RNAcentral lists this small RNA (97 nucleotides) under Flavobacterium aquatile LMG 4008 = ATCC 11947. RNAcentral's name for it is "Flavobacterium aquatile LMG 4008 Flavo-1 RNA". It matches the Rfam family "Flavo-1 RNA". Lineage: Bacteria; Pseudomonadati; Bacteroidota; Flavobacteriia; Flavobacteriales; Flavobacteriaceae. The record is from Rfam by way of RNAcentral.
ACCUAGCCCUGAUUGCAGUGGAAAUCCUUUUAUUUUGUUGCCUGAGGUUACUCGAAGGCAACAAAAUAAAAGAUUGCAACGGAAAGCAGGAAAAUGG